UGGCAUAUCAAAAGCGGAGGAAAAGAAACUAACAAGGAUUCCCCUAGUAACUGCGAGUGAAGCGGGAAAAGCUCAAAUUUAAAAUCUGGCGGUCUUUGGCCGUCCGAGUUGUAGUCUGGAGAAGUGCUUUCCGCGCUGGACCGUGUAUAAGUCUCUUGGAACAGAGCGUCAUAGAGGGUGAGAAUCCCGUCUUUGACACGGACUACCAGUGCUUUGUGAUGCGCUCUCAAAGAGUCGCGUUGUUUGGGAAUGCAGCGCAAAAUGGGUGGUGAAUUCCAUCUAAAGCUAAAUAUUGGCGAGAGACCGAUAGCGAACAAGUACCGUGAGGGAAAGAUGAAAAGCACUUUGGAAAGAGAGUUAAACAGUACGUGAAAUUGCUGAAAGGGAAACGCUUGAAGUCAGUCGCGUUGUCCGGGACUCAGCCUUGCUUCGGCUUGGUGCACUUUCCGGAUGACGGGCCAGCAUCGAUUUUGACCGCUGGAAAAGGGCUGGAGGAAUGUGGCACCUUCGGGUGUGUUAUAGCCUCCAGUCGCAUACGGCGGUUGGGAUCGAGGAACGCAGCACGCCUUACGGCGGGGGUUCGCCCACCUUCGUGCUUAGGAUGCUGGCAUAAUGGCUUUAAACGACCCGUCUUGAAACACGGACCA
This 647-nucleotide ribosomal RNA is filed under the name Trametes cinnabarina. RNAcentral describes it as "eukaryotic LSU rRNA". It matches the Rfam family "Eukaryotic large subunit ribosomal RNA", at positions 36 to 668 of the family's 3401-position model. Lineage: Eukaryota; Fungi; Basidiomycota; Agaricomycetes; Polyporales; Polyporaceae. The record is from RNAcentral.